RNAcentral lists this ribosomal RNA (50 nucleotides) under Koenigia sp. Won 152. Its description in RNAcentral is "partial 26S ribosomal RNA". Lineage: Eukaryota; Viridiplantae; Streptophyta; Magnoliopsida; Caryophyllales; Polygonaceae. The record is from RNAcentral.
GCGACCCAGGUCAGGCGGACUACCCGCUGAGUUUAAGCAUAUCAAUAAGC